GCUUACACAUGCAAGUCGAACGGUCCUUUCGGGGAUAGUGGCGGACGGGUGAGUAACGCGUGAGAAUCUGCCUUUAGGACGGGGACAACAGUUGGAAACGGCUGCUAAACCCGAUGUGCCUUCGGGGUGAAAUAUUUAUAGCCUGAAGAUGAGCUCGCGUCUGAUUAGCUUAGUUGGUGCGGUAAUGGCGCACCAAGGCGACGAUCAGUAACUGGUCUGAGAGGAUGACCAGUCACACUGGGACUGAGACACGGCCCAGACUCCUACGGGAGGCAGCAGUGGGGAAUCUUCCGCAAUGGGCGAAAGCCUGACGGAGCAAUACCGCGUGAGGGACGAAGGCUUUUGGGUCGUAAACCUCUUUUCCCUGAGAAGAAGAUCUUGACGGUAUCAGGCGAAUCAGCAUCGGCUAACUUCGUGCCAGCAGCCGCGGUAAUACGAGGGAUUGCAAGCGUUAUCCGGAAUUAUUGGGCGUAAAGCGUCCGCAGGUGGCUCUGUAAGUCUGUCGUUAAAGAAUGGGGCUCAAACCCCAUACAGGCGAAUGGAAACUACAAGGCUAGAGUU
Molecule: ribosomal RNA, 561 nt
Filed under: uncultured bacterium
Lineage: Bacteria
Description: bacterial SSU rRNA
Rfam family: Bacterial small subunit ribosomal RNA
Source: RNAcentral